AUCGAGGCCAGAGUCACGUGUGGGUAUCGGCUAUUGCCUUAGUGUUCUGGAGUCCUCGAAGAACAACUGCUGACCUCAUUCACUGCCUCUGGUUCCCCUAGGGCACGGCCAGUCACCAGGUUAGUGACAUGC
Phyllostomus discolor (pale spear-nosed bat) is the source of this 132-nucleotide small nucleolar RNA. RefSeq annotates it as small nucleolar RNA SNORA3/SNORA45 family. The record is from RefSeq and is a predicted model, not a curated record. The transcript has a single exon. Lineage: Eukaryota; Metazoa; Chordata; Mammalia; Chiroptera; Phyllostomidae.